UACAGGGGGUGCAAACGUUGCUCGGAAUCAUUGGGCGUAAAGCGCACGUAGGCGGUUCGUUAUGUCGGAUGUGAAAGCCCUUGGCUUAACCGAGGAAGUGCAUCCGAAACUGGCGAGCUAGAGUACUAAAGAGGAUCGCGGAAUUCCCGGUGUAGAGGUGAAAUUCGUAGAUAUCGGGAGGAACACCGGUGGCGAAGGCGGCGAUCUGGGUAGAUACUGACGCUGAGGUGCGAAAGCGUGGGGAGCGAACAGG
RNAcentral lists this ribosomal RNA (253 nucleotides) under uncultured bacterium. RNAcentral's name for it is "partial 16S ribosomal RNA". It matches the Rfam family "Bacterial small subunit ribosomal RNA", at positions 524 to 776 of the family's 1533-position model. The record is from RNAcentral.